This 24-nucleotide non-coding RNA is filed under the name Arabidopsis thaliana (thale cress). Lineage: Eukaryota; Viridiplantae; Streptophyta; Magnoliopsida; Brassicales; Brassicaceae. The record is from RNAcentral.
GAAAGGGCUAAAGAUGGUUUCCAA